Molecule: non-coding RNA, 24 nt
Filed under: Gossypium hirsutum (cotton)
Lineage: Eukaryota; Viridiplantae; Streptophyta; Magnoliopsida; Malvales; Malvaceae
Source: RNAcentral
AAUGUCAAGAGAGGAGACUGGAGA